CGUAGGAAUCUACCUUAAUUAUAAUAGUUAGUGGGGGAUAACCCGGGGAAACUCGGGCUAAUACCGCAUAAUCUCUUCAAAGCAAAGCGGGGGAUCUUCGGACCUCGUGCUAUGAGAUGAGCCUGCGUCGGAUUAGCUAGUUGGUAGGGUAAUGGCCUACCAAGGCGACGAUCCGUAGCUGGUCUGAGAGGACGAUCAGCCACACUGGGACUGAGACACGGCCCAGACUCCUACGGGAGGCAGCAGUGGGGAAUAUUGGACAAUGGGGGAAACCCUGAUCCAGCAAUGCCGCGUGUGUGAAGAAGGCCUUCGGGUUGUAAAGCACUUUCAGUGGGGAAGAAAUUCUCAAGGCUAAUACCCUUGAGCGUUGAC
RNAcentral lists this ribosomal RNA (372 nucleotides) under uncultured Coxiella sp. RNAcentral's name for it is "bacterial SSU rRNA". It matches the Rfam family "Bacterial small subunit ribosomal RNA", at positions 100 to 473 of the family's 1533-position model. The record is from RNAcentral. Lineage: Bacteria; Pseudomonadati; Pseudomonadota; Gammaproteobacteria; Legionellales; Coxiellaceae.